CUACGGGACGCACCAGUGAGGAAUAUUGCACAAUGGGGGGAACCCUGAUGCAGCAACGCCGCGUGGAGGAUGACGCAUUUCGGUGUGUAAACUCCUUUUAUAUGUCAAGAAAAUGACGGUAGCAUAUGAAUAAGCACCGGCUAACUCCGUGCCAACAGCCGCGGUAAUACGGAGGGUGCAAGCGUUACUCGGAAUCACUCGGCGUAAAGGACGCGUAGGCGGGUUGGAAAGUCAGGUGUGAAAUCCUACAGCUUAACUGUAGAGCUGCACUUGAAACUUCUAAUCUAGAGUAUGGGAGGGGGAGAUGGAAUUAGUGGUGUAGGGGUAAAAUCCGUAGAUAUCACUAGGAAUACCUAAAGCGAAGGCGAUCUCCUGGAACAUUACUGACGCUAAGGCGUGAAAGCGUGGGGAGCAAACAGGAUUAGAUACCCUUGUAGUC
Molecule: ribosomal RNA, 439 nt
Filed under: uncultured bacterium
Lineage: Bacteria
Description: partial 16S ribosomal RNA
Rfam family: Bacterial small subunit ribosomal RNA
Source: RNAcentral